CACGCUUCCGUUGGUUACGUGGCCCAACAGACGUCGGUAGUUAAGGUUGAUUAUGGCUCAGUUUGAACGCUGGCGGGAUGCUUUACACAUGCAGGUCGAACGGCAGCACGGACUUCGGUCUGGUGGCGGUGGCGAACAGGUGAGUAAUGUAUCGGAACGUUACUGGUAGCAGGGGAUAACGCGAAAGCGUAGCUAAUACCACAUACGCCCUUCGGGGAAAGCGGGGGACCUUUGGGCCUCGCACUAAUGAAGCGGCCGAUAUCGGAUACAGCUAGUUGGUGGAGUAACGGCUCACCAAGGCGACGAUCCGUAGCUGGUUUGAGAGGACGACCAGCCACACUGGGACUGAGACACGGCCCAGACUCUACGGGAGGCAGCAGUGGGGAAUUUUGGACAAUGGGAAACCUGAUCCCAGCCAUCCCGCGUGUUGCGAUGAAGGCCUUCGGGUUGUAAACGCACUUUUGGCAGGAAAGAAACGGCGCAGGGAUCAUACCCCGAUGCAGCUGACGGUACCUGCAGAAUAAGCACCGGCUAACCACGUGCCAGCAGCGCGAUGACUACGUGGUGCAAGCGUUAAUCAGGUUACUGGGCGUAAAGCGUGCGCAGGCGGUUCGGAAGAAAGAUGUGAAAUCCCAGAGCUUAACUGGAACUGCAUUUUUAACUACCGAGCUAGAGUGUGUCAGAGGGAGGCGGAAUUCCGCGUGUAGCGGUGAAAUGCGUAGAUAUGCGGAGGAACACACCAUUGGCGAAGGCAGCCUCCUGGGAUAACACUGACGCUCGUACCUGCACGAAAGCGUGGGGAGCAAACAGGAUUAGAUACCCUGGUAGUCCACCUAAACGAUGUCAGCAGCUGUUGGGGCCUUCGGGCCUUGGUAGCGCAGCUAACGAUGAAGUUGACCACGCCUGGGAAAUACGGUCGCAAGAUUAGAAACUCACCAAAGGAAUUGACGAGGGACCCACGCACAAGCGGUGGAUGAUGGAUUAAUUCGAUGCAACGCGAAAAACCUUGCCUACCCUUGACGCUGUCUGGAAUCCCGAAGAGAUUUGGGGAGUGCUCGCAAGAGAACCGGAACACAGGUGCUGCAUGGCUGUCGUCCAGCUCGUCGUGAGAUGUUGCAGGUUCGUCCGCAACGAGCGCAACCCUUGUCGUUAGUUGCUACGAAGGGCACUCUAAGCGGGACUGCCGGUACAACAAACCGGAGGAAGGUGGGGAUAUGGCAUCCAAGUCCUCAUGGCCCUUAUGGGUAGGGCUUCACACGUCAUACAAUGGUCAAGGACAGAGGGUGCCGACCGCCCGCGAGAGAACCAAUCUGACCCGAUCGUAGUCCGGAUCGCAGUCUGCAACUCGACUGCGUAGAGUCGGAAUCGCUAGUAAUCGCGGAUCGGCAUGUCGCGGUGAAUACGUUCAGGUCUUGUACCGCCCGUCACACCAUGGGAGUGGGUUUUACCAGAAGUGGUUAGCUAACCGUAAGGAGGCGAUUACUGCAUUAAGUUCAUGACUGGGGUGAAGUCGUAACAAGGUAA
RNAcentral lists this ribosomal RNA (1524 nucleotides) under uncultured Bordetella sp. RNAcentral's name for it is "partial 16S-23S ribosomal RNA intergenic spacer". It matches the Rfam family "Bacterial small subunit ribosomal RNA". Lineage: Bacteria; Pseudomonadati; Pseudomonadota; Betaproteobacteria; Burkholderiales; Alcaligenaceae. The record is from RNAcentral.